RNAcentral lists this long non-coding RNA (248 nucleotides) under Lathyrus oleraceus (garden pea). RNAcentral's name for it is "Pisum sativum (pea) long non-coding RNA (PSAT_LNC009717)". Lineage: Eukaryota; Viridiplantae; Streptophyta; Magnoliopsida; Fabales; Fabaceae. The record is from RNAcentral.
ACCGGUUGAAAUGUUAGGGUUUGCGUGAGAUGAAAGUGUGUGAGUCAGAUUGAAUUUUUCAGAGCUGCCUGGGGGUUGCUCUGAGUUCUCUGUCAGGUUCCUCUCCAGGUUUUGUUUCAAGGAAACCUCAUCGUAUUUUUGCUUCUCUUCAUUUUUCUGUCUGAUCUCCCUCUUUUAUAACCUGAUUUUCAUGACUUUGUGGGCUCAAAUGAGAGAGGUCCAAGUCCAAGUUUUUUCUAUUAUAUUUU